RNAcentral lists this ribosomal RNA (478 nucleotides) under uncultured bacterium. RNAcentral's name for it is "partial 16S ribosomal RNA". It matches the Rfam family "Bacterial small subunit ribosomal RNA", at positions 28 to 523 of the family's 1533-position model. The record is from RNAcentral.
GAUGAACGCUGGCGGCGUGCUUAACACAUGCAAGUCGAACGGUAAGGCCCUUCGGGGUACACGAGUGGCGAACGGGUGAGUAACACGUGGGUGAUCUGCCCUGCACUUCGGGAUAAGCCUGGGAAACUGGGUCUAAUACCGGAUAGGACUCCUGGCUUCAUGGUUGGGGGUGGAAAGCUUUUGCGGUGUGGGAUGGGCCCGCGGCCUAUCAGCUUGUUGGUGGGGUAAUGGCCUACCAAGGCGACGACGGGUAGCCGGCCUGAGAGGGUGACCGGUCACACUGGGACUGAGAUACGGCCCAGACUCCUACGGGAGGAAGCAGUGGGGAAUAUUGCACAAUGGGAGCAAGCCGGAUGCAGCGACGCCGCGUGAGGGAUGACGGCCUUCGGGUUGUAAACCUCUUUCAGCUAUGACGAAGCGCAAGUGACGGUAGUAGCAGAAGAAGGACCGGCCAACUACGUGCCAGCCGCCGCCGUAA